This 414-nucleotide ribosomal RNA is filed under the name uncultured microorganism. Its description in RNAcentral is "bacterial SSU rRNA". It matches the Rfam family "Archaeal small subunit ribosomal RNA", at positions 459 to 872 of the family's 1478-position model. The record is from RNAcentral.
CAGCCGCCGCGGUAAUACCGGCGGCCCGAGUGGCGGUCACUAUUAUUGGGCUUAAAGCGUCCGUAGCCGGGUUGGGAAGUCCUCCGGGAAAUCUGGCCGCUUAACGGUCAGAAUGCCGGAGGAUACUCCCAGCCUAGGGAGCGGGAGAGGCCGAGGGUAUUCCCGGAGUAGGGGUGAAAUCCUAUAAUCCCGGGAGGACCACCUGUGGCGAAGGCGCUCGGCGGGAACGCGUCCGACGGUGAGGGACGAAGGCCAGGGGAGCAAACCGGAUUAGAUACCCGGGUAGUCCUGGCUGUAAACGAUGCGGACUUUGUGUCGGACAAGCUAUGAGCUUGUCCGGUGCCGGAGGGAAACCGUUAAGUCCGCCGCCUGGGGAGUACGGCCGCAAGGCUGAAACUUAAAGGAAUUGGCGGG